GAUGAAGAACGUAGCGAAAUGCGAUAAGUAGUGUGAAUUGCAGAAUUCAGUGAAUCAUCGAAUCUUUGAACGCACCUUGCGCCCUUUGGCUAUUCCGAAGGGCAUGCCUGUUUGAGUAUCAUGAACACCUCAACUCUUCACGGCUUGCCGUGAUGAGUUUGGACUUUGGGGGUCUUGCUGGCCUACGAGCCAGCUCCUCUCAAAUGUAUUAGCUUGCCGGUGUUUGGUGGCAUCACAGGUGUGAUAACUAUCUACGCUUGUGGUUUUCCACUAGGUAACCUUCAGCAAUGGAGGUUCACCGGAGCUCACAAAUGUCUCUCCUUGCCAAGGACAGAUUUUGACCAUUUGAUCUCAAAUCAGGUAGGACUACCCGCUGAACUUAAGCAUAUCAAUAAGCGGAGGA
Molecule: unclassified non-coding RNA, 403 nt
Filed under: soil metagenome
Description: partial contains 5.8S ribosomal RNA, internal transcribed spacer 2, and large subunit ribosomal RNA
Rfam family: 5.8S ribosomal RNA (bases 1-121)
Source: RNAcentral